ACAAGGUACCUAGUGGCAUUGGCAUGAGAGCAUUUGUGUUUACGUGUUCGGGAAGGCGUGUACAGUGAGUUAUCUUGACAAGGGAGUACACCAAAAUAUACACCCUGUCUUGACACAACACCGGAAGUCAUCGGGAUCACGAUGUCGUCAGCUAAUCUACUCCCAGCAAGGUCGAGAUGAAUGGCAAGUCUCGUUAUCUCCCAUGCGACCAGACGAGACUGGAGUGUUUGCGUAGCGGGAUGGCGUGAUAAAGUCGUUAUCUGCCAGUUAUAAGUAUUGUAUAUGAGGGAUAUGGAAAAACGGACCUAGAUGGAGGUUGGAACGAAGAUCGAACUGUCUUAUUUUCGUCACUGCAUUUGUAACAGAACUAGUUUUGUUACCCAUUUUAUAAUUAAAAUUCCA
Haliotis rufescens (red abalone) is the source of this 402-nucleotide long non-coding RNA. RefSeq lists it as uncharacterized. The record is from RefSeq and is a predicted model, not a curated record. NCBI's taxonomy places the organism in Eukaryota, Metazoa, Mollusca, Gastropoda, Lepetellida, Haliotidae. The transcript is spliced from 3 exons.